This 253-nucleotide ribosomal RNA is filed under the name uncultured bacterium. RNAcentral's name for it is "partial 16S ribosomal RNA". It matches the Rfam family "Bacterial small subunit ribosomal RNA", at positions 524 to 776 of the family's 1533-position model. The record is from RNAcentral.
UACGUAGGGUCCGAGCGUUGUCCGGAAUUACUGGGCGUAAAGAGCUCGUAGGUGGUUUGUCGCGUUGUUCGUGAAAACUCACAGCUCAACUGUGGGCGUGCGGGCGAUACGGGCAGACUAGAGUACUGCAGGGGAGACUGGAAUUCCUGGUGUAGCGGUGGAAUGCGCAGAUAUCAGGAGGAACACCUGCGGCGAAGGCGGGUUGCUGGGCUGAUACUGACGCUGAGGCGCGAAAGCCAGGGGAGCGAACGGG